UCAAAGCCUUAGAACAAACAGCUGGGAAAAUUGUCACAGAAAAUACAAUCAUCUAAAGAAAAAGCAACAGAAGCAAACAAAUGAGCCACUUUAUUCCCUAUAAGUCUAGCGUGAGACUGUUCCACUUCCUGGAAAUCCUUUGUCUAACAUCUAGAUAUCUUGAACAAUUGAGCCGAAUUUGGUUUCACUGGACUGAAUUGUCGAAGAGCUGAGAUUACUCACUUUCUACAAUAAGAUUUUUUUUUUACGUAUCUAAAAUUAGUUUAGAGUGUGUCGGAAAGACUCCAAAGUCUGAACUAGAAACUUUAGUUAAUUACUGUCUCAUCUGCAUGCUGCUUCAAUAAAUUUUUGAUACCUGCUGUACGAACCAACGUCAAACUCCACAAGAUUGGUUCAGCUUUUGCACUCACGACAUUAGACCUGUCCUUCGUUGUGGCGAACCAUUCCUAACCCCCAGCUAGAGUCUCCCCUUUUUGCCUGCAUCGAUGUUCAUCUUCAUAAUAUUCUGAGGAGGAUGCGGACAUUUCUGCUGAGCUUGCACGACAGAACCUUCAGCCUCACCGUUUGCUUGCAACAAAUCGUAAUCUGUUGAACCCUCUAUUUUUCCCUACCACAAUGGUCACGCUACCACACACCAGAGCCCGACAAUUUCUUCAUCCGAGUGUACCCUCAGAUACUCGAACCAACCACUGCAACAUCGUUAACUCCCUCAUAUUUCUCCUGUCCAUUUUCCAACACUACAAUCAAACCAAGUUUCCUGAGAAAAUCCUACAAUCUUUGAUAACAUGGCUUGAACUUUCCUUUGCCUCACCACAUGCUCUCUUGAACUACACCUCGAUGUCUUAAGGCUGUCUUGGUAGGGACUGCACAUGAAAUGUUUAAUUUCUUGGAGGAAUUUUGAGCCUCCAAAUUAAGACGACUCCAAUUAUGAUCAAAUUCUGAAGUCCCACUUGAACCCCCUCUCCUUACCUCCGAACUAGUAUAUUAACCAAUCCGGAUAGAAGAUCCAAAAAAAGAAAAAAAAAUUGGUAAGCUGAACAAACAGAAAACCAACCAUUAUCAGAAUAAUGCCCAAUUCAACUAUCUUCCAAACCAAAACCACUUAUUGGUAUUUCCUUGCUUAAUAAUGGCUGCCUCUUGUGCUAAGAAAGAGGAACCAAUUGGUUUUGUUCCACCCUCUAACUGCCGGAUUCGUACUAUCUUUUACCCGAGCCUCUCUGUCUAAAUCAUUAGCAGCCGACCAAACAUUUAAGCCAUAAGAACAAGGUAACUAAUUCUAAACUGAAUGAUUGAAAUUUCAUU
RNAcentral lists this long non-coding RNA (1302 nucleotides) under Ricinus communis (castor bean). RNAcentral describes it as "long non-coding RNA (RCOM_LNC001552)". Lineage: Eukaryota; Viridiplantae; Streptophyta; Magnoliopsida; Malpighiales; Euphorbiaceae. The record is from RNAcentral.